CCUUGGCAGCCGUGUCAGAACCUGCACACCACAGCUGCUCUAACUUCAUCUCAAUGCCUCUCACCUUUGUUCUCCAGGCUCCAGACGCACUGGCCUGCAUCCUGUCCUGCCAUAUUUUGCUAAUCCUCUCCCCAGCCCUAGGAGAUUAAUCUUGAAGAGUCUAAAUGGAUCGUGGUCAUUCCAUUCUCCUUGUUGGAAUCAAUAAAAUCUCCAGACCAGUGUCUCUGGGGGAACCCAGUGCCUGGAGGAUAAGGACCAAAAGAAGCUUUACUUUUCCCUUAAUACCUUUUUGAACUCCGAAUUUUGCAACAAGAACAUGUAUGUAUGAAAAAAAGACAUAAAGUUUGUAAAUACAAAAAAAUUAAUUAAAAUACAAAGAGUUUAAUUAAAAAACUGUCCUAAAGAAUAAUUUUGUUUGUUUGUUUUGAGGAAAAUUAGCCCUGAGUUAACAUCCACUGCCAAUGCUCCUGUUUGCUGAGGAAGACUGGCCCUGAGCCAUCAUCCAUGCCCAUCUUCCUCUCCCUCAUAUGUGGGACGCCUGCCACAGCAUGGCUUGAUAAGUCACACUAGGUCCGCACCCAGGAUUCGAACCAGCAAACCCUGGGCCACCAAAGUGCGACUACGCAGAAUGGUUAAGAAGCUGACGACUCUGUCAGGCAAACGAGUUCAAAUUCUGUCUCUGUCACUCCUUACCAGAUAUAUGACCUCAGGAAGAUUAGCCCUGAGCUAACUGCUGCCAAUCCUCCUCUUUUUGCUGAGGAAGACUGGCCCUGAGCGAACAUCCAUGCACAUCUUCCUCUACUUUACAUGUGGGACGCCUGCCACAGCAUGGCUUGACAAGAGGUACCAUGUCCGCACCCAGGAUCCGAACUGGAGAACCCUGGGCCGCUGAAGCAGAACACGCAAACUUAACCGCUGCGCCACUGGCCCGGCCCCCACGUGAGCACAAUUGUGAGGAGUUGAAAAAGGGAAAAGACAUGAAAAGAAGAAAAGGAAAGAGAACUGAGAAGAAAGCAGAUGACUUGUAACCGGUAAUAGUAGACUAAUCCAACAGAAAAGAGGAGAAAACAAAAGAAAAAGAAAUGAGAGAAAGUAAAAGUAAGGACAUAAUAUAAAGGUGAGUUUUUUUAAAGUAGACUGCAAAGUAAUACACUUUUCACUAAUGGAUUGCAUUUCCAUCACUCCAUAACCCAUAGAAUCCUAUAUAAAUACAUUGGAAACUAAUAAAGAGCAAGCACCCUAGAAGUCUGGCCCAGGAACGGUAUCUUAGUUUGAAUGUAGCUGGCAAUGUGUGCUGAGUACUUACCACUUAGACCCUAUUUCAGCCUUAUUCAUUCAUUUAUUCAACGAAUAUGAAAUGCCUUGACUUAGACACUGAGGAUACUGCAGUGAACAAGACAAACAUAAUUCCUCCCCUCAUAAAGCGUACUGUUUUAAGAUUUAUUUGGGUAGUUAUAGUGGGUUGAAUAAUGUUCUUUAAAAAUGCAUGUCUAGGGGGCCAGCCCGGUGGUGCAGCGGUUAAGUUAGCACGUUCCACUUCUCGGCAGGCCGGGGUUCGCUGGUUAGGAUCCCGGGUGCAGACAUGGCACUGCUUGGCACACCGUGCUGUGGUAGGCAUCCCACGUAUAAAAUAGAGGAAGACGGGCACGAUGUUAGCUCAGGACCAGUCUUCCUCAGCAAAAAGGAGGAGGACUGGCAGUAGUUAGCUCAGGGCUAAUCUUCCUCAAAAAAAAAAAAAAAAUGCAUGUCUACAUGUAACCUCAGAAUGUGAACCUAUUUGGAUAUAGGGUCUUUUUAGAUGCAACUAGCUAAGGAUCUGGAGAUUAAGUCAACCUAGAUUUAGGGUAGGUCCUAAAUCCAGUGACUGGUGUCAUUAUAAGAGAAGCAGACACAAGAGAAGGCAGAGAUGGGGAGAUAGAGGAAGAUUGGAAUGAUUCAUCUGCAAGCCAGGGAAUGCCAAGAACUGCUGGCAGCCACCAGAAGCAGGGAGAGAGGCACCAGACGGACGGUUCUGCCUCAGAGCCUCCAGAAGGAUCCGGCCCUGCUGGCACCUUGAUUUCAGACUUUCUGGCCUCCAGAGCUGUGAGAGAAUAAAUUUCUGUUGUUUUAAGGCACCCAGUUUGUGAUCAUUUGUCAUGGCAGCCCCAAGAAACUAGUAAGGUGGCGAACAGAGUUAACGCAAAAAUCAGCACCCGGACUUCAGUUUCCCUUCUCACAGAGUGCACUGAGCAUGUGAGUGGCCUGAGGAAACAACGGUGCAGAGGUGGCACUUUAUUUAUUUAUUGUGCAUGCAUGUUUGUGUGUGUGUGUGUGUGAGGAAGAUUGGUCCUGAGCUAACAUGUGUGCCAAUCUUCCUCUUUUUGCUUGAGGAAGAUUGGCCCUGAGCUAACAUCUGUUGCCAAUCUUCUUAUUUUUGCUUGAGGAAGAUUGGCCUUGAGCUAACAUCUGUUGCCAAUCUUCCUCUUUUUGCUUGAGGAAGAUUGUCCCUGAGCUAACAUCUGUGCCAAUCUUCCUCUAUUUUGUAUGUGGGAUGCCACCACAGCAUGUCUUGAUGAGAGGUGUGUAGGUCCAUGCCUGGGAUCCAAACUCGUGAACCCUGGGCCGCCAAAGCAGAGCACAUGAACUUAACCACUAUGGCACCUGGCUAGCCCCUAGCUGUAGCACUUUCUUAAGAAUUUAACAAAAUUCUUAAUAAAGGACCAAAGAGUAAGGGUGGGUUCACUAACAGAAAGGACUCAGAUCAUUUGGAGUGACCCUAUUCAUUUUACAGCUGAAGAAACUGAAGCGAUCUGCCUUUUGGCUUCCUUUCUCUUUUGCUCAAGCGAGACGCAGAUGGUCUGUCCUAUCUCAGCAGGAAAUCUCUGUCUGGCUGACACCCUGAAUGAUUCAGCUGGAUUCCCUACGUGGGGUGGGGGGAGGAUUUCUUGCCAGGAAGAUGGUAACUAUAAACUCCAUUUAUUCGACUGUUAUUCUAGAGUACCUAUUCUGUAAGUCACAACGGGAGAAGCAAGAAAUAUGAACUCCUGUUCUUUAGAAACACAAACACAAUCCCAAAUACGAAAGCUAUUACAUUUAGACUGUAAGUCAAGUCACGCAAGUAUUAUUUUUGAACCUUGGAUUAAAACUAAAGGCUCAAAAUAAGGGAGAAGAAAAGAAAACUGUGGAACAUUUCCACCAGUGGCAUUUAAAACAAGGGCAAGGCUUAGCUAUCUGGCUUAAAGCAGACCAAUUCUCCUACUUAGAAAAGCCAGAAAAGCAGGACGAAACACACACACACACACACACACACAGCCCUCUAUUUAAUGUUGUUGAAGAACUGUGAAAGUAGCCAAAAACUUGAGAGGGUCAAAGCCCUUAAAAGAAGGAAAAUGAAUUGAGCCUGGGCAGAGAGGCUGAGAAGCUGGGCAGAAAGUGGCUCCUGAGGUGCAGAGAAACCGAGUGUAGCUGUUUGCAGGAUCCUGGGACUGGAGAAUCCAAAACAAGUUCAAAACUGUCAAGAGACCCAAGAUGUAAGAAACCAAAAUCCUAGAGAGAAGACAAACAUGGGAAAAUCUGCCUGAUUGUCCAAGCCCCUUUUCCUCUUGAGACAGCCAUCCAUUUGUCUGUGGUGUGGGCCGACAGAGAGAAGCUGAUCCUGCAAAUGCUCCCUAAGAGGCUGAGAUGCUAAGCACAGCUUUCGGCAGUCUCAAUGUGCUGGGGACAUAAAAAAGAAAUGGAGGGUAGGGGCCGCCAAAGUGGAGGUGCCCAGGCAAACAUUCCAGGAUUUCAGCUGAGACUUCCUACACCUCAGAAGUAAGGGCCAACCCCACAUAGACAGAGCCUUAAAGACUGAGAUGCUGGCUCAAAUCAGCUUGCUCCCUGAUGGGAUUAAGGCGAUCUGCUCCUACACUAACUGCCUUCCAGAAGCUGAACAACAUUCUCUCUGAAAAAAGAGAAGAGCAUCUAGACCUACAAUUUUUCGUACACAGUCCAGUCUUCCCUGGAAGAUUAGCAGACACACCCAGAGAGACUAAGAAAAAAAAAG
Equus caballus (horse) is the source of this 4024-nucleotide long non-coding RNA. The record is from Ensembl. Lineage: Eukaryota; Metazoa; Chordata; Mammalia; Perissodactyla; Equidae.